GAUGAACGCUGGCGGCGUGCCUAAUACAUGCAAGUCGAGCGAACAGAUAAGGAGCUUGCUCCUUUGACGUUAGCGGCGGACGGGUGAGUAACACGUGGGUAACCUACCUAUAAGACUGGAAUAACUCCGGGAAACCGGGGCUAAUGCCGGAUAACAUUUAGAACCGCAUGGUUCUAAAGUGAAAGAUGGUUUUGCUAUCACUUAUAGAUGGACCCGCGCCGUAUUAGCUAGUUGGUAAGGUAACGGCUUACCAAGGCAACGAUACGUAGCCGACCUGAGAGGGUGAUCGGCCACACUGGAACUGAGACACGGUCCAGACUCCUACGGGAGGCAGCAGUAGGGAAUCUUCCGCAAGGGGCGAAAGCCUGACGGAGCAACGCCGCGGGAGUGAUGAAGGUCUUCGGAUCGUAAAACGCUGUUAUUAGGGAAGAACAAAUGUGUAAGUAACGGUGCACGUCUUGACGGUACCUAAUCAGAAAGCCACGGCGAACUACGU
RNAcentral lists this ribosomal RNA (496 nucleotides) under uncultured bacterium. RNAcentral's name for it is "partial 16S ribosomal RNA". It matches the Rfam family "Bacterial small subunit ribosomal RNA", at positions 28 to 506 of the family's 1533-position model. The record is from RNAcentral.